This 86-nucleotide non-coding RNA is filed under the name Thermoclostridium caenicola. RNAcentral describes it as "Clostridium caenicola c-di-GMP-I riboswitch aptamer". It matches the Rfam family "c-di-GMP-I riboswitch aptamer". From Rfam's summary of the family: GEMM was predicted in a large-scale screen for bacterial structured RNA regulatory elements. Genes associated with GEMM are involved in a diverse array of functions, including chemotaxis regulation, signal transduction, secretion and chitin. Lineage: Bacteria; Bacillati; Bacillota; Clostridia; Eubacteriales; Oscillospiraceae. The record is from Rfam by way of RNAcentral.
CAUGUACAAGGGCAAACCUGCCGAAAGGCAGGGACGCAAAGCUACGAGUCUAAAGCCGUUUUGGCCAUGACAGUCGGGCUGCCAUA